AAAGAGUGAUGCUGAAGCGCUGGUCAUUUCUGUCAGCUGGGAAAGGAAGGAAGAUGUUGUUGCUCUAUCUAAUGUCACUUUUUAUUCCAAAACAUUUGACACUUUUUAUCUGCAACAUCAUGAAUCACUUGGUCAUUUGAGAAAAGACACAUAAUUAGACAUUUUCUAUUACAAGUAGUUCAAAUUGUAUAAACACAUAAUUCAUGAGUUUGCAGUAGUGUCUGCCUUUAUGUCAGGGCAAAUUUGAGCAUAUUUCAAUUUUGUCCAACUUGUUACUAAUAAACUUGAUUUGUCCAGAGCUCUCAACUCAAUUCAAACAACUCAUGACACCAUUCCUUCGACACACACACACACACUUUUAUCCAAAGCAACUUGCAGUGCAUUCUAGUUAUAAUUAGUUUUUUGUUUUUUUAACCAGUGUGUGUUUGUUCCCUGGGAAUUGAAGCCACAAACUUUAGCACUGACUGCUCACAUAAUGCUCCACCACUGACAGACGGACCGACACACACAUACAUGCACACACACACACACACACACACAAGGAGGAAGCUUUUGGGAUCAAGUGGAAAGAGGGACACAGUCUAGUCAGUCAUAUGAACUCGGGACUGGUUCAGUCACAAUGAGAAAUCUUAUUCUAAACUGGACAUUUCUCUUUAUUUUACAUCUGACCAAAGAGGACGCUUCAGUGCAAAAGCUGAGUGCCCCAGAAAAGCACUUUCUUGUCCUGAUGUGUUCUGACGCUUCAUAUGUUGACUGGAGCCAUGGGCUGGAAAAGGUGAUCGCUUCUAAACGAGGAAAGCUGGUGUCUUACCUGGACCAAAGCAAACACCAGCUGCUUGAAGACGGCCAGCUCUCCAUUAAAGGCCUGCAGGAAUCAGACGCAGGAGAAUAUUACUGCAACCAUCAGCUAGUGGCAGAUAUCACUGUGCUCAAAGGUCAUAACUUUACAGUUGCUGAGGGCACAACUAUUUAUCUGCCAUGUAAGACAUCUGAUAAAAUGAAGCAGAGAUGGGCAUUCAAACGCACUCCUCACUCCAGAAAAGAGUUCAUCUCCACACUUUAUAAAAACAGCACCAUAAAGAAAGAGAGAGCUGAUCCAACAUUAAGAUUCACCCACACCACAGACCACCUGAUUAUCUCCAGUCUCCGGCUGCAGGACUCUGGGCUUUAUCUGUGCAACAACAGAGAGAUGGCUUUCCUCACGGUGACCACAGCAUCGACUGAAAUUGAAAACAGCAGUCCAGAUAUAAACAAAUAUCUGACUGUGGCCGUCCUGCUGGCCUUGUGCAUACUGGCGAUGGUUUGUGUUGGACUUCUGUCUGUGACGAUCGGCUGGAAAAGCAGAAGAAGGAGAAGAAACUUCAGAAAAGAAACAGAGCUGACAAAUAUUGCAUCUGGUCAACAAUUACAAAGCAUGUCAAAUGAAGGCCCCUGGAUGCUGGACCCUCAGGAGGAUGCAGGGGAAAUCCAGUACGCGUCUCUGGCUGCGUAUAUCACAUUGACUGGAGCAGGAGCCGUGGCUCUGGACCGUCUGAGGAACCGGAGACUGGAAUACUGUACUUGUGCUGCCUGGAAAACAACAGCAUCUCCCUGCGUUAGUGAAUCAGUAUUAAUGUCACUCUCAGAGCACAAAACAACACAAACGACUGACUACACAGACAAACAGGAGAACCAAGGUUCCUUUCGUAGGUAUGCCACUUCUUAG
This 1705-nucleotide long non-coding RNA is filed under the name Carassius auratus (goldfish). RNAcentral describes it as "lncRNA (ENSCARG00000002447.1)". The record is from RNAcentral. Lineage: Eukaryota; Metazoa; Chordata; Actinopteri; Cypriniformes; Cyprinidae.